This 38-nucleotide ribosomal RNA is filed under the name Tulasnella sp. MUT4247. RNAcentral's name for it is "partial 18S ribosomal RNA". The record is from RNAcentral. Lineage: Eukaryota; Fungi; Basidiomycota; Agaricomycetes; Cantharellales; Tulasnellaceae.
ACAAGGUUUCCGUAGGUGAACCUGCGGAAGGAUCAUAG